Molecule: non-coding RNA, 73 nt
Organism: Pteropus alecto (black flying fox)
Lineage: Eukaryota; Metazoa; Chordata; Mammalia; Chiroptera; Pteropodidae
Source: Rfam
GGUUCCGUAGCGUAGCGGUCAGCACGUCUGCUUUACAUUCAGAAGGUCCUGGGUUCGCGCCCCAGUGGAGCCA